CCGGUUUGAAUCGUAUCUCGUAGAAUAACCAGCCAAACCGGAGAAUCACGGUUUGAUGCUGUCCCAAAUUUCAGAUCAACGACCCACAAAAAUCUUACGCAUCAAACUCGGGAGAAACAAUUUACGGGUGAGAGGAGAUAUGGUAGGCGGCGGAGAUGGCGAACGCGGCGGAGUUGGUGGUCGUGGCGGUAACAAAGCGGAGGCAAAUCAGUUGCUCGUAACAUCGGAGAAGCUUCUAUCGUCUAGUGACUUCCAAGGAGCCAAGGCGUCAGCGAUCCGCGCAUGCAAAUCCGACCCGAGCCUAGCGGAAGCGGCGGACUCCAUCCUCACAAUCUGCGACGUUCUCAUAGCCAGCGAGAUUCGUCUAGGCGACUCAAAAUUACCUGACUGGUACGCCGCGCUGCGACUCGGUCGGUUAGCUCAGAACCCCGAACACGUCGCGACUCAGUACCGCAGGCUCGCUCUCCUCCUCAAUCCGUCGGUUAAUCGCUUUCCGUUAGCCGAUCAGGCGUUUAAGGUCGUCUCCGAAGCUUGGCACGUGCUCUCCGAUCCCUCGAGGAAGUCGCUGUACGACCAAGAGGUUCAACUGAGUCAACUCGUCCAACCUCAGAAGCAACGUUUCGUAUGGAAACCUAGCCAAAGCACCACCAACGUAGUAGUAGCACAACAGCCGCCUUCUGUUGCUCAGCCGCCGCGGAGGAGCGAUCCUAUGGCGACGAGCUUCUGGACUGCUUGUCCGUACUGUUUUGUGCUCUUUGAGUACCCUAAGGCUUACGAGGAAUGCGUUUUGAGGUGUCAAGAUUGUAGAAGAGCUUUUCAAGCUGUGACGAUACAGAAACCUCCGGUGGAGGGGGAAGGAGAAGACGUUUACUUCUGCUCGUGGAGUGUAUUCCCGCUAGGGUUUUCCGGCGAGUUUAGAGCUCCGAGCUGGUCACCUAUUUCACCUCUUAUUGCAUGCCCUCUGCAAAUGGUGGACGAUGAACGGACCAGGAAGAAGAGAAAGGAACCUGCUCCUCCAAGAUUUUUCUAUGACGAUGAUGACAUAUAUGUUGCUAUUUCCGAUGAUGAUCAUGAGGAAAAUGACCCUAAUGAGUUACAAGCGAAGAAUGUCGGGAAAGGGAAAGAAAAACUUGUGAGGGGUAACAAGAAACAUGGAUCAGAGAAGGCUGGGAGGGGAAUCCAACAUGUAGAAACUAUCGGUGGUGCUAGCAAUCAUGCGGCUUCAAUUGCUUCAUAUGUUACUCCUGUUGGUUCCUCGUCUAUGUCAAAACCGAUGAGUAUUAGAAAAAGAACGGGAACUGGAGCUAAGAACCUAGGAAGGUUGGAUUUGAAUGUGGAGUUCAGUAAUGAAGUGGAAGAGCCUGCUGUGGCAGGCGGGAGAAAUGAAGGCAAUGGGCUCGGAAGUAACAGGGAGGUGGAUAAUAUGGAAGGGAUUGGGUUCUUUGAGGACCUUGAUGAAUUCUUGAGUAGUUUGCCGAUAUUUUCUGUCGAUGGGGAUGAUAAGAUCAAGGCUACUUAGUGAAACAGGUUGAUAGUCGUCGGAAAAUCAAAGCCAUGCCAACAAUACCAGAGUGUUGGUCAACGGUCAACGUGUACAUGGAGAUCUCCGUCUUUGUUGGAGAAGAUGAGAUCUAUAUGUUGUUGGAUCCGACAGCUGCAUUUCUCAACAAUGGCAAUCGUUUCUUCAAUCAUGCCCACUUCAGUGGAUCCUUCUUCCUCAGGAGUCUGUGUUUUUCACAAUACGUCGAAG
Brassica rapa (field mustard) is the source of this 1750-nucleotide RNA transcript. RefSeq lists it as uncharacterized. The record is from RefSeq and is a predicted model, not a curated record. NCBI's taxonomy places the organism in Eukaryota, Viridiplantae, Streptophyta, Magnoliopsida, Brassicales, Brassicaceae.